AGAAAUUAUGCAUCAUUUUAUACUUUAUUUGAAAUUUAGAUUUUUCAACAGACUCCCAAAGCAAUAUUGUCAGGAGUGCAAUGCUUUUAAAUGAAAUUGUUUAUUUAAAAUAGUGCAUACAAAACAGUAUAGGGAUCAAGGACAUUGGUUUUAAGAUUUUUCUUUAGUUCCCAAAAUGCAUCCACUCUCUUUGCUCAGUGUGGCUAUCUACAUUAUAAAUGAGCAUAAAUAUAUCAAGAAGCUUUUCUCCUUGCCUUACAGGUUCUCUGGAUGCAGAUCUGUUCCAGGAAACACAUUCGUAGCAUUGCCUGUGUAAUCCAACGGGAGCAACGGGAGUAUGCUGGGAGAAGACCUUUGUGUGAUUGUCACUUCCUAGAUUGAAAGAAGGCAUAAUAGAAAUGACCUUCUAACUAAGCUGCUCCUGAAAGGAUUACCUAGUGUGAGGAGAGAGACGAAGUCUUGCUGUGUCAUCAAGCUGGAGUGCAGCGGAAUGAUCUUGACUCACCGCAACCUCUGCCUCCUGGGUUCAAGCGAUUCUCCUGCCUCAGUCUCCCGAGUAGCUGGGACUACAGGUGCGUGCCACCGUGCCCAGCUAAUUUUUGUAUUUUUUGAUAGAGACGAGGUUUCACCAUGUUGGCCAGGAUGGUCUCAAUCUCUUGAUCUAGUGAUCUGCCUGCCUCGGUCUCCCAAAGUCCUGGGAUUACAGGCGUGAGCCACUGCGCCCAACUGUUUUUUGUUUUGUUUUGUUUUGUUUUGUUUUGAAUUUUUAUUUUAAGUUCAGGGGUAUAUGUGCAGGUUUGUUAUACAGGUAAACUCAUGUCAUGGGGGUUUUUUGUACAGACUAUUUUGUCACCCACUUACUAAUCCUAAUAUCUAAUCAUUAUUUUUUUCUGCUCCUCUCCCUCCACCCUCAAGUAUGCCCCAGUAUUUGUUGUUCCCCUCUUUGUGUCCAUGAGUUAUCAUCAUUUAGUUCCCACUUACAAGUGAGAAAAUGAGGUAUUUGGUUUUCUGUUCCUGCAUUAGUUUGCUAAGAUAAUGUCCUCCAGCUUUAUCCGUGUUCCUGCAAAAGACAUGAUCUCAUUCUUUUUUAUGGCUGCAUAGUAUUUCAUGGUGCAUACGUACCACAUUUUCUUUAUCUAAUCUGUCAUUGAUGGACAUUUAGGUUAAUUCCAUGUCUUUGCUAUUGUAAAUAGUGUUGCAAUGAACAUACACAUGCAUGUAUCUCUAUGGUAGAAUGAUUUAUAUUCCUUAGAGAAUAUACCCAGUAAUGGGAUUGCUGGGUUAAAUUGUAGUUCUGAUUUUAGUUUUUUGAGGAAUUGUCACACAAUGCUUUCUACAAUGGUUAAAUUAAUUUACACUCCCACCAACAGUGUAUAAGUAUUUGCUUUUCUCUGCAACCUCACCAGCAUCUGGUAUUUUUUUGACUUUUGAAUAAUAGCCAUUCUGUCUGGUGUAAGAUGGUAUCUCAUUGUGGUUUCGAUUUGCUUUUCUCUAAUGACAGCGAUGUUGAUCUUUUCUUCAUAUACUUGUUGACUGCAUGUAUGUCAUAUUUUGUAAAGUAUCUGUUUAUGUCCUUUGCCCACUUUAUAAUUGGGUUGUUUCUUCUUGUAAAUUUAUUUAAGUUUCUUAUACAUGCUGGAUACUAGACUUUUUCAGAUGCAUAGUUUGCAAAUAUUUUCUCCCAUUCUGUAGGUUGUCUGCUUAUUCUGUUGAUAGUUUCUUUUGUUGUACAGAAGCUCUUAAGUUUAAUCAUAUCCCAUUUUUCCAUGUUUGCUUUUUUUUGCAAUUGCCUUUGGUAUCUUUGUCAUGAAAUCUUUGCUUGUUCCUGUGUCCAGAAUGGUGUUGCCUAGGUUGUGUUUCUGGGUUUUUAUAGUUUGGCAUUUCACAUUUAAAUUUUUUUUUUUCUUUUUUUGACACAAGGUCUCGCUUUUUCACCCAGGCUGGAGUGCAGUGGUACAAUCUCGGAUCACUGCAGCCGUCUUUCGGGGUGUUUAUAGUUUGGCAUUUUACAUUUAAAUUUUUUUUCUUUUUUUUUUUUUUUGACACAGGGUUUUGUUUUUUCACCCAGGCUGGAGAGCAGUGGUACAGUCUCAGCUCACUGCAGCCUCAACCUCCCAGGUUCAAACGAUCCUCCCACCACAGCUCCCCAUGUAGCUGGGAAUACAGGCACGUGCCACCACGUUAGGCUAAUUUUUGUAUUUUUCAUAGAGACGUUUCACCAUGUUGCCCAGAUUGGUCUCCAACUCCUGAGCUCAAGCGAUCCAUCUGUCUCAGCCACCCAAAGAGCUAGGAUUAUAGGUGUGAGACACCACACCCGGUCUUACGUUUAAGUCUUUAAUCCAUGUGGAGUGGAUGUUUGUAUAUGGUGUAAGAAAGGGGUCCAGUUUCAAUCUUCUGCAUAUGGCUAGCUAGUUAACCCAGCACCAUUUAUUGAAUAGGGAGUCCUUUCCCCAUUGUUUGUUAUUGUCAGUGUUGUCGAAGGUCAGAUGGCUGUAGGUAUGUGGCCUUAUUUCUGGGCUCUAUUCUGUUCCAUUAGUCUAUAUGUCUGUUUUGUGUCAGUACCAUGCUGUUUUGGUUAAUGUAGCCCUGUAGUAUAGUUUGAAGUCUAGUAACAUGAUGCCUCCAGCACUGUUCUUUUUAUUUAAGGUUGCCUUGGCUAUUCAGGCUCCUUUUUGGUUCCAUAUGAAUUUUAAAAUCAUUUUUUCUAGUUCUAUGAAGAAUGUCAUUAAUUGUUUGAUAGGAAUAGCACUGAAUCUGUGUAUUGCUUUGGGCAGUAUGGCCAUUUUAACAAUAUCUAUUCUUGCUAUCCCUGAGCAUGGAAUGUUUUUUCAUUGGUUUGUGUCAUCUCUGAUUUAUUUGAGCAGUGUUUUGUAAUUCUUAUUGUAGAGAUCUUUCACCUCCCUGGUUAGCUGUAUUCCUAGGUAUUUUAUUUUAUUUUAUUUUUAUUUUUGGCAAUUGUGGAUUGGGAUUGUGUUCCUGAUUGGGCUCUUGGAUUGGCUGUUGUUGAUGUAUAGAAAUGAUAGUGAUUUUUAUACAUUGAUUUUGUAUCAUGAAACUUUGCUCAAAUUGUUUAUCAGCUGGAUGAGGUUUUGGGUCGAGACUAUGGGGCUUUCUAGAUAUAGAAUCAAGUCAUUUUUCCCUUUAUUUCUCUUGACUGAUUGCCCUGACCAGG
Molecule: long non-coding RNA, 3172 nt
Filed under: Homo sapiens (human)
Lineage: Eukaryota; Metazoa; Chordata; Mammalia; Primates; Hominidae
Description: HSALNT0173073
Source: RNAcentral